AGAGUGUUGGGUUAAGUCCCGCAACGAGCGCAACCCCUACGCUGAGUUACCAGCACGUAAAGGUGGGGACUCUCAGUGGACUGCCGGCGACAAGCCGGAGGAGGGUGGGGACGACGUCAAGUCAUCAUGGCCCUCAUGUCCAGGGCGACACACGUGCUACAAUGGCCGGCACAACGGGAAGCGACGGCGCGAGUCGUAGCGGAUCCCUCAAAGCCGGUCCCAGUUCGGAUUGCAGUCUGCAACUCGACUGCAUGAAGCCGGAAUCGCUAGUAAUCGUGAAUCAGAAUGUCACGGUGAAUACGUUCCCGGGCCUU
Molecule: ribosomal RNA, 314 nt
Filed under: uncultured Thermanaerovibrio sp.
Lineage: Bacteria; Thermotogati; Synergistota; Synergistia; Synergistales; Synergistaceae
Description: bacterial SSU rRNA
Rfam family: Bacterial small subunit ribosomal RNA
Source: RNAcentral